RNAcentral lists this ribosomal RNA (255 nucleotides) under uncultured bacterium. Its description in RNAcentral is "partial 16S ribosomal RNA". It matches the Rfam family "Bacterial small subunit ribosomal RNA", at positions 225 to 483 of the family's 1533-position model. The record is from RNAcentral.
AUGGACCCGCGGCGCAUUAGCUAGUUGGUGAGGUAACGGCUCACCAAGGCGACGAUGCGUAGCCGACCUGAGAGGGUGAUCGGCCACACUGGGACUGAGACACGGCCCAGACUCCUACGGGAGGCAGCAGUAGGGAAUCUUCCGCAAUGGACGAAAGUCUGACGGAGCAAAGGCGCGUGAGUGAUGAAGGUUUUCGGAUCGUAAAACUCUAUGGUAGGGAAGAACAAGUACCGUUCGAAUAGGGCGGUACCUGAC